RNAcentral lists this non-coding RNA (105 nucleotides) under Jaculus jaculus (lesser Egyptian jerboa). The record is from RNAcentral. Lineage: Eukaryota; Metazoa; Chordata; Mammalia; Rodentia; Dipodidae.
GUGUUGUAUGAAAGGAGAGACAGUUAGCACUCCCCUUGACAAAGGUCAGCCUGCACACAGUUAAGGCAUUGCCACCUAUUUUGUGGCACCUGACCACUGUUUUUC